Molecule: non-coding RNA, 275 nt
Organism: Paramuricea clavata
Lineage: Eukaryota; Metazoa; Cnidaria; Anthozoa; Malacalcyonacea; Plexauridae
Source: the annotation of a GenBank genome assembly
CGCCACACCAACAUGUCCAUCUUUCCCAGGAAAAACCUCUCUUACACGACCCAACGGCCAAUGUCCACGGAUCUGAUCAGCAGAAAUCGCGAGAACCACGUCCCCAACUUUUAUAUCACGUUUCGGUUCCCACCACUUUGUCCGUAUGUUAAUCAACGGUAGCCACUCUCGCAUCCAUCGUUUCCAAAAACGGUUAACUAACUCUUGUACGCUUCUCCAACGUUGCCGAGGAUUGAAUUCCAAACAAUCAACAGGCUCAGGAGACGAUUUUCCCC